GUGUAGUCAAGUGGUCCUCAGAGUGUAGGUGUAGUCAAGUGUGGUCCUCAGAGUGUAGGUGUUGUCAAGUGUGGUCCUCAGAGUGUAGAUGUGGUCAAGUGUGGUCCUCAGAGUGUAGAUGUGGUCAAGUGUGGUCCUCAGAGUGUAGGUGUAGUCUAGUGUGGUCCUCAGAGUGUAGGCUGUGGUCAAGUGUGGUCCUCAGAGUGUAGAUGUGGUCCUCAGUGUAGGUGUGGUCAAGUGUGGUCCUCAGUGUAGGUGUGGUCAAGUGUGGUCCUCAGUGUAGGUGUGGUCAAGUGUGGUCCUCAGUGUAGGUGUGGUCAAGUGUGGUCCUCAGAGUGUAGGUUUGGUCAAGUGCAACACAGUGACUAAGAUGAUUCCGGUGCGAUAAACCUUCCGGGCUCGGCAAUUACUGAUGUUCAUUAUCGACAUCUAAGAUGUAUGAUUGAUUUGUGAGAGCUGAAAAUAUUAAUAAAUACGGUAACG
Long non-coding RNA from Homarus americanus (American lobster), 483 nucleotides. RefSeq lists it as uncharacterized. The record is from RefSeq and is a predicted model, not a curated record. Lineage: Eukaryota; Metazoa; Arthropoda; Malacostraca; Decapoda; Nephropidae. The transcript has 2 exons.